Molecule: ribosomal RNA, 237 nt
Filed under: uncultured bacterium
Lineage: Bacteria
Description: partial 16S ribosomal RNA
Rfam family: Bacterial small subunit ribosomal RNA
Source: RNAcentral
UACGUAGGGGGCAAGCGUUGUCCGGAUUUAUUGGGCGUAAAGAGCGUGUAGGCGGCUUUACAGGUCCGUUGUGAAAACUCGAGGCUCAACCUCGAGACGCCGGUGGAAACCGUAAAGCUAGAGUCCGGAAGAGGAGAGUGGAAUUCCUGGUGUAGCGGUGAAAUGCGCAGAUAUCAGGAAGAACACCCGUGGCGAAGGCGGCUCUCUGGGACGGUACUGACGCUGAGACGCGAAAGC